AAAUUGAAGAGUUUGAUCAUGGCUCAGAUUGAACGCUGGCGGCAGGCCUAACACAUGCAAGUCGAACGGUAACAGGAAGCAGCUUGCUGCUUUGCUGACGAGUGGCGGACGGGUGAGUAAUGUCUGGGAAACUGCCUGAUGGAGGGGGAUAACUACUGGAAACGGUGGCUAAUACCGCAUAACGUCGCAAGACCAAAGAGGGGGACCUUCGGGCCUCUUGCCAUCAGAUGUGCCCAGAUGGGAUUAGCUAGUUGGUGAGGUAACGGCUCACCAAGGCGACGAUCCCUAGCUGGUCUGAGAGGAUGACCAGCCACACUGGAACUGAGACACGGUCCAGACUCCUACGGGAGGCAGCAGUGGGGAAUAUUGCACAAUGGGCGCAAGCCUGAUGCAGCCAUGCCGCGUGUAUGAAGAAGGCCUUAGGGUUGUAAAGUACUUUCAGCGGGGAGGAAGGUGUUGCGGUUAAUAACCGCAGCAAUUGACGUUACCCGCAGAAGAAGCACCGGCUAACUCCGUGCC
Molecule: ribosomal RNA, 519 nt
Filed under: Salmonella enterica
Lineage: Bacteria; Pseudomonadati; Pseudomonadota; Gammaproteobacteria; Enterobacterales; Enterobacteriaceae
Description: bacterial SSU rRNA
Rfam family: Bacterial small subunit ribosomal RNA
Source: RNAcentral